Molecule: small nuclear RNA, 109 nt
Organism: Mesocricetus auratus (golden hamster)
Lineage: Eukaryota; Metazoa; Chordata; Mammalia; Rodentia; Cricetidae
Source: Ensembl
GUGUCCCCACUUUGACAGCCCAUAUGCUGUAACUGGAAGGAUGCAGAGAAGAUCAGCAUGACCCCAGGGCAAGGAUGGCAUGUAAAUCUAUGAAUGGUCCUAUGGUUGC